RNAcentral lists this ribosomal RNA (460 nucleotides) under uncultured bacterium. RNAcentral's name for it is "partial 16S ribosomal RNA". It matches the Rfam family "Bacterial small subunit ribosomal RNA", at positions 338 to 795 of the family's 1533-position model. The record is from RNAcentral.
CCUACGGGGGGCAGCAGUGAGGAAUAUUGGUCAAUGGACGGGAGACUGAACCAGCCAAGCCGCGUGAGGGAGGAAGGUACAGAGUAUUGUAAACCUCUUUUGUCAGGGAACAAAGACUGGGACGCGUCCCCGGAUGAGUGUACCUGAAGAAAAAGCAUCGGCUAACUCCGUGCCAGCAGCCGCGGUAAUACGGAGGAUUCGAGCGUUAUCCGGAUUUAUUGGGUUUAAAGGGUGCGGAGGCGGUCCGUUAAGUUAGGGGUCAAAACCCGGGGCGCAACCCCGGGCUCGCCGUUGAAACUGGCAGUCUAGAGUUGGGGAGAGGUAUGCGGAAUGCGCGGUGUAGCGGUGAAAUGCAUAGAUAUCGCGCAGAACUCCGAUUGCGAAGGCAGCAUGCCGGCUCCACACUGACGCUGAGGCACGAAAGCGUGGGUAUCGAACAGGAUUAGAUACCCGGGUAGUC